RNAcentral lists this ribosomal RNA (467 nucleotides) under uncultured bacterium. RNAcentral's name for it is "partial 16S ribosomal RNA". It matches the Rfam family "Bacterial small subunit ribosomal RNA", at positions 28 to 507 of the family's 1533-position model. The record is from RNAcentral.
GACGAACGCUGGCGGCGUGCUUAACACAUGCCAGUCACGGGGGCCCGCAAGGGUAACCGGCGAACGGGUGCGUAACACGUGAGCAAUCUGCCGUCCACUGGGGGAUAGCCGGCCCAACGGCCGGGUAAUACCGCAUACGCUUGCCGGGUGGCAUCACUUGGCAAGGAAACCUCCGGGGGUGGACGAGGAGCUCGCGGCCUAUCAGCUAGUUGGUGGGGUCACGGCCCACCAAGGCGAUGACGGGUAGCUGGUCUGAGAGGAUGGUCAGCCACAUUGGGACUGAGAAACGGCCCAGACUCCUACGGGAGGCAGCAGGGGGGAAUAUUGCGCAAUGGCAGCAAGGAUGACGCAGCGAGGCCGCGUGGGGGAUGAAGCAUUUCGGUGUGUAAACCCCUGUGGCCCGGGACGAACCUCCCCUUUCGAGGGGACUGACGGUACCGGGUGAGGAAGCACCGGCUAACUCCGUG